AUACCAUAAUGAGGACACCUUCUUAGCAAUUCCUUGAAUCUUUCCCAAGCCUCGUACAAAUUUUCAUCUUCCAGUUGAUGGAAAGAAGUAAUCUCAUUCGCAACUUU
Non-coding RNA from Citrus sinensis (sweet orange), 107 nucleotides. The record is from Rfam. Lineage: Eukaryota; Viridiplantae; Streptophyta; Magnoliopsida; Sapindales; Rutaceae.